This 322-nucleotide ribosomal RNA is filed under the name Conothele sp. MYG549. RNAcentral's name for it is "partial 12S ribosomal RNA". The record is from RNAcentral. Lineage: Eukaryota; Metazoa; Arthropoda; Arachnida; Araneae; Ctenizidae.
UCUAGAGGAAAUAAGGUAAUACUAUUCAAGGAAACCUUUAUUAUCUGGCGGCCUUUUUUCUUAUUAGAGGAACUCGUCUCAUAAUCGUCACUCCUCGUUAUUUCUUACUUUUUUUUAUCUCUUAUACCGCCGUCUCAAGAUUUAUCUCCUUUUUUCUUAAAAAAAUCUUUUUAUAAAGUCAGGUAAAGGUGAGGAUUAUAAAAGAGAGAAGAUAAGUUACUUAUAAAAACUAUUUUUGAACAUAUACUCAAAACUAUAUUUGAAAGAGGAUUUAAUAGUAAUUUUUUAUUAUUAUUCUAUAAUGAAAUAGUAAAAUAGGUGC